CCUACGGGUGGCAGCAGUGGGGGAUAUUGCACAAUGGGGGAAACCCUGAUGCAGCGACGCCGCGUGUGGGAAGACGGUCCUCUGGAUUGUAAACCACUGUCCCCAGGGACGAAGAUGACGGUACCUGGGGAGGAAGCUCCGGCUAACUACGUGCCAGCAGCCGCGGUAAUACGUAGGGGGCGAGCGUUGUCCGGAAUUACUGGGUGUAAAGGGAGCGUAGGCGGGGAUGCAAGUUGGGUGUCAAAACUACCGGCUCAACUGGUAGUCGCACUCAAAACUGCAGCUCUUGAGUGAAGUAGAGGCAGGCGGAAUUCCUAGUGUAGCGGUGAAAUGCGUAGAGAUUAGGAGGAACACCGGUGGCGAAGGCGGCCUGCUGGACUGUAACUGACGUUGAGGCCCGAAAGCGUGGGGAGCAAACAGGAUUAGAUACCCGGGUAGUC
RNAcentral lists this ribosomal RNA (440 nucleotides) under uncultured bacterium. RNAcentral describes it as "partial 16S ribosomal RNA". It matches the Rfam family "Bacterial small subunit ribosomal RNA", at positions 338 to 795 of the family's 1533-position model. The record is from RNAcentral.